Molecule: long non-coding RNA, 290 nt
Filed under: Olea europaea (common olive)
Lineage: Eukaryota; Viridiplantae; Streptophyta; Magnoliopsida; Lamiales; Oleaceae
Description: long non-coding RNA (OEUR_LNC004088)
Source: RNAcentral
AUAUAUAUACCCCUCUGCAUUAGGGUGAGUGUAUUUUUAUAUGUGAUGGUGAAAGGGGCCUUCAUUUUGUCUGCAUUUGCACCUGCACCUCGCUAGGGAGGGAAUUGCCUUAGAUGCAUGGAUGAAGAGAGGUGCAGGCGCUGCCGCGCUGGUGCAGCCAAAGAUGGCAUCUUGGCGUGGAGAACGCUUUAGUAAUUAGUGGGAGGAUCAUAUAUGCUCACAAUACUUUUUUCUUUAUUGAUUUAUUAAUUUUUUAUUUUUUUCUCUUGUUGAUAGGAUUGCUGAUAUGU